Molecule: long non-coding RNA, 4981 nt
Organism: Columba livia (rock pigeon)
Lineage: Eukaryota; Metazoa; Chordata; Aves; Columbiformes; Columbidae
Exons: 10
Source: RefSeq, a predicted model, not a curated record
CGUGGCGGCAGGACACCAUCUUGGAGAGGUCGCUGGGGCCGGAUGUGCUGCCGCCAUCUUGGGAAGGUGCAUCUCGGCUGUCGGCGGCGCGGCUCCAUCUUGGGGAAGUCGAGUCGCUCCGCCCGAGGAACUGUACAUAACAACCGUGUUUUCCACAUAUGGAUAGAAACAGAAAUAAUCUUUGCAGCUAUGGAUGCUUCUUAAUAUUAGUUGAAGGUAAAGAUGUGCAUAGGGCUUCUGGUCUAUAAAGAAGGGAGAAAAAGGCGAAACCACCUGAAAUGCACCUUAGACAACUCCCCUCAGCAGAAAUUGGCUUCCCCUUGAUUCUCAACCCCCUAUUUUAGAAGUGGCUGAAGAGCAACACCAAACGUUGAUCUAGGGACAGGGAAUAUUGCCACAAGAGCCCGUUGUUUAGCGGACAGACGUGGAUGCUCCUGCUGCCCCCAGACCCUGGUACUCUGCAGAGCCCAUCAGACCUGUCGGUUCGUUACCGGCGCAGGGAGCAGAAUGGGCCCUUUGGCAAGUCACUGAACCCCAAAUCUGUUUUUCCUUCUGAAACAGUAACACUGUGGUGAUAAGAAUUCUUCACAACACGGGAAGAGGAGGAGGAGGAGGAAGAGAGAGGACGAGAGAACUCAAAACCCUGAAGGAUGGUUCUCAAAAAAUUCUGGCGGCACCGCGGGGACUGGCGGUGGAGCGGCCGCGGAGCUACUUUCUGGAUUUAUCCUGAACAAGAAGUGGAAUUACUGAGUUAAUGCCCUGGAAGCGAGUAUCCUGUGUUGCAUACUACAGUCCCGAAGUCCUUCAUAUACGGCACCGACCUGGAGAGUUUGUACGACCUUUUUCCAGUCCGAAUAGGAACCAUCUCCCCUACUCCACUCGUUGACGUCUAAUCUCACAACAUCACCUUCGCAUUUCCAUACUGAGGUAGGACAACCUUGCUAAGGAAGAAGGGAAUUUGGACAGACUUAACAUACAGCCUGUGCAGCUUCCACUGGCUGGACACGAAAAUGAAGAGAGAGUUUAUUAAUUCCCAUCCUGACGCAGCCCCCCAGGAUUAAAAGACAUUUUAACCUACAAGAGAGACUGGGUCGAACACGCAUCCACCCCAAGCUGUCUACAUCAAGAAGCCCAUGUGAUUCCUCUGACUAUCAAGUCUCCAUGUUUCUGUGUUGGAUGUGAAGAGUAAAGAAAGAUUCUGGCAGAAAUUAGAAGGCAUCCAAGUCAGUGUAAGAGACACUACCAGACAUAAGGCUGAGGACUGGCAGAGACCAUACGUUAGGGGAGGAAAAAAAACACCCCACAACCUCAGUUAUUUCAACAAAUACCAAAAGUGGAUUGAGAGUGGAUGAAGAGGAGGAGGAGGCAAUAGUGAACACACAACACAGUUCAAGUUGGCAAGGAGCCCCUUCUUGAAGAAUGCCUGCAAAAGCAGCAAAUUCCUAUGAAAAAUCUGCUGGCUGACUUCAGGGUAUGUGGAGGGCCUGACUGCAGCAGCCUGGCCAGAGGUUCGGAGGCAGCUGGAAUCACCCACGGAUGUCCCAUCUCUCCCAGGGGCUACAGUAAGUCCAGUGACUACCAAAUGCAUUGACAGGUUUAUUUUAUUAACUGAGUAAAAGCUCAGAAAUACAGUGAAGACAAAAGAAGAGAACAAUCAUUCCUCUGAAUAUGCCCCCCAGCCCAAAUCUCUCCCACACCCUUCAGUGUGUUUCUAGAGGAAUCCAGAGGCCCCUCCAGCAUCCCCCGCGGCUCUGGGGAUGCAGCCCCUGCCAUGCACCUCGCGAGCGGCCUCCAGAAGCAGCGCGGGUUGUCUGGUGAACCCACAGCAGUGCGGCUCUCCAGCCUCGCUCGCUAAGCCCUGCUGCAUUCUGCAUCCCAACAAUGAACGUGCUGCUCUUGGAAUAUCCCUUUCCAUGCCUCUUGCUGGGCGUCUUUAAGCGGUAUCAGAUCGCUUCUGCAGCUCAGGCAGCCCUUUGCAAUCAGUCGCUGCUGAUCAUCUGCCCUUUCCCCCUUCCAAACCCCUAAAUAAAUGCAUCUGCUCCAGCCUAAUUCAUCUCAGCCUUCUCCCUUCUUGUAUGCAACUUCAGGCAAACAAACUUUCUAUAUGAAAAGAGAGCUUACCUGGACAAUGCUUUGAGUAUGAAGUAAUAAAAACUGAUAAAGCCAGACAUCCCAACUCUAGUACAGGGAUUUGAUUGCAAAUUUCCAUUGCAAAGGAGCAGAGGGAACUGGAAAUCUGACAAAUGCCUUCAAAUUAACCUGUGUUUUCACAAUGCACGCUGUGUUUAAAAUGAAUGGCAGACUUUAUCAUUUGGAGCUCCUUCAAGGACUCCGGCCUUCUCCGCUUUGUUCUAAUUCUUCGGAAAUAUUUCCAAGAAGCACAAAGCUACGUAAGUGGAUGAUAUUAUGGAGGGUUUUUCUAAGCAGGAUUUUUUCCCCCCUACAAUAAUUUUUAAAGCCUGAAUUUAAAAAGAUAGCCCGAAACUUCUUCCUUCCUGCACGGACGCAUCGGUCCCUCCCGUGCAGGGUCAGCCCUGGCCCCUUGGAGCCGUGCCGGGCACAGGGGCAGCGAGCAGCCCAGUGCCAGCCCGGCCCGGACGCCAUGCGCUCAGGGCUCCUGAAAUUCCCUGGUCCAGCUGCUUUCAGCACGGCCAGGCAGAGCCGGCCCGCUCCACCGCAGGACAGAGCUGCGCCGGGGCCACGGCAUGUUCCUGGGGCAGAACCCAGGGAACCAGCGCCGCUUGCCCCUGUUUUACAUGCCAAAGAUAACAACCAUCUUUUCUGAAAGUUCAUCCAGAAAGCCAUAUGUGCUGCCUCAGAAAAGCAUUUUGCUUCAAAGUUGUCCCUCUUAAUCUGUACACAUUUUUACAAAUAAUGACUUUCUUUUAAAGCUCUGGUAUUAGUUCCAUCUGUUUAAAAUAGCAUAUAAAUGAAGCUAUAUGAUUCUAUGUGCAAAUAUAUCAGAUAUGCUGGAAGACAAAAAAAUAGGAUUAAUCUAAUAAUUCAACUGUGUCUUUAACAAGUUUCCUAUGGGAAAAAUCAGUCUUAUUUUCCCCGCAGAUCUGAUACUGAGAGCUUCUUUCUACUAAGCACAUUAAAAGCUAUUUGAACCAAAAAUCCUAUCUAUGCAUGUGUAGAGAUACAUAUAUAGAAACAAGAAGCAUCCGUAGUUUUAUAGAAGAGGCUGUAUCAAGAUUUCCAAUUAAAGCAAGGGUAGUCCCUUCCUGUAUUUUAGCAACUGGAUUAUAUUUUGCCUAGAACAAAGAAACCUUAAGGGAAGUAAAUUUUCUGGAGGAGAACCGCACGCACGUAUGUGUUUGAAUGCUGUACCUAACAAUUCCUGUACAAAUUAUUCCUUAAUUCCUUAGAUUUAUUUUGGUAUUUGCACAGCGGUUUAUCUGGCCGGUCCUGCACUCAUCACUUGUUCGCUCCCAUCUUUUCACACCACAUCUACCCCUCGCCAGCUCUUUUUGUACCCCGGCAGAAACGGGAACUCCUCCGCUCCCCAGCCGGUUGUGUUCAGGACAAGGGGGAGCCCCUGGCACCUGCCCGGGCUGCGGCUCCUGCUCCCCCCAGCCGCGUCCUGCCCUGGCCAGACGGCAGGAGGGUGCCCUCGGACUUGACCCCACAGCAGCGCCUGCUCUGCUGGACCCGGCUCCCAGGAGGUGGGGGCCGCAGGGCGCCCCCCGCUUAACCCCUCUGCUUCUGGGCACCUCUGACCCAGCCCCGCUGCCCUCCUUCCUUUGGGGGCACGCGGGAUCACCCCGCGAGCGGGAGAGGACGAGGACGCAGGAGCAGCGAGAGGCUGUCGCAGGAGGGCACAGCGCAGCACGGCCAGAGCCACAGAAUCGCUGAAAAGGAGGACGUUUGGUUUGUGUUAACUACUCAGACAGAUGCACUUCGGCAUGUUUGCAUUUAUGGAAUCCAUAUGUUGUCAUGGGAAAUGAGAGGACAGCAACACCAAACUGGAAUUGGCGAUGCAAACGCAAAGAAAACGUACACGGCUACCAGGCUCUGCGUUUGCACAUGUUCUUUCGAAGGUGCCUGAUCCUGGGAUAUCGACAGUUAUUAGAUUUCCUUGCCACCUUCUCCACAUUUAAUUUUUCUUUGCUCUGCAAUAAGUGUGUAUAUAGGCAGCCCCCAUUCUCAGACCGGUCUACCGGAUCUACAGCCUCUGGUUAAACAUGCACUUCUAAGUUAUACCAAGUACGAAGAGACAAGGGUUACUUUAUUCUUGCCUCAACUUCGACAUCAAAACACGUUUGUUUCAUAUUCAGCAAGAACAACAGUUACGAAUUACAUGCACCUUUACAGAUAGCGCACCAAGCAGCCCUGAAAAUUCUUACUUGCCCCAGGGCUUGUAGGUUUUGUUUUUGUGGUUUUUUUUUUUUUUUCUUUUUUUUUUUUUAAAGGGGAAGUAAUGUUAACAAUUAUUCUUCCAUAAUUCUAGACAAGCAUAUUUUGAGCAGGGAUUGACAGUUUAAGGGCAGCUUUUAAAGUCAAACUGGUAACGUACUGGAGUCUAUCCAUUUAACAACCCGUAAGAACUCAUACACAGCAUGCGCAUUAUAACAGUACACAUCAGUGCUGCAUUUAGAAUAUUCAAAUAACUAUGGUACAUAUUAAACCUCAAUUCUUAAAACCCAUGAACAUCUUCCAAAUGCAAGAUACUUCCAGUAAUGUAUCAACUAGGACAGCCCUUCCAAUUUCCAAUAAUCUGUCCUCUUCUUUCAUCCCCCCAUCCCACUAAGGGGACUUGUCAAAAUUUCAAAUAACUACCCCACAUUAAGAAAUACGGAAAGCUUGAUACAUUUAAUUGAAAAUAUUUACUAACAAACAUGCAGUUUAUUACCUUUCAGUAUAAAAUACAUCUACAUUAAGGAUCUCCAAAAUGGCAAAACUGACCGCAACUGCAUUCCUUGUUCAAGGCUAUGAAACAAACCGGGAACUUAAUUACUUGAGUUACUAUUAAAAAUUAAAA